UAAUCAACAUUCGAGUUCAACUCACCACGACAACGCCAUUUUUGUUUGCACCCGGCUUUUAGCUGUUUUCGCAUGCACGCAAUUAUACACAGAGCCACUAACUUUGCGGCUUAAAUUAGAUUAAUCGCCGAGAGAUUAUGGAUCGCAGGUCAAACCACUCAGAUGGCUCGCACGGUGGCGGCGGUGGUGGUGGAGGAGGAGGCCGCAACGAGUGCCGAAUUUACGUGGGCAAUUUGCCACCGGACAUCAGGACCAAAGAUAUCCAGGACUUGUUUUACAAGUUUGGCAAGGUCACGUUUGUUGAUUUGAAGAACCGACGCGGGCCUCCUUUUGCUUUUGUCGAGUUCGACGAUCCCAGGGAUGCCGAGGACGCUGUGCACGCGCGGGACGGCUACGAUUAUGAUGGCUACCGUCUCAGGGUCGAAUUUCCACGAGGGGGUGGACCUGGAAGUUUCAGGGGCCGUGGAGGAGGUGGUGGUGGCGGCGGCGGUGGCGGAGGUAGAGAUGGCGGAAGGGGUCGAGGACCCCCGGCUAGAAGGUCGCAGUACAGAGUUCUCGUCACAGGACUUCCUCCGUCAGGAAGUUGGCAGGACUUAAAAGACCACAUGAGGGAAGCGGGAGAUGUGUGCUUUGCCGACGUUUUUAAGGACAAUUCUGGAGUGGUUGAAUACUUGCGUUAUGAGGACAUGAAGUACGCUGUUAAAAAACUGGACGACUCCAGGUUUAGAUCGCACGAAGGCGAAGUUUCCUAUAUUCGAGUUAAGGAGGAUUACGGAGGAGGUGGUGGCAGUAGUGGUGGUGGUCGGAGCAGCAGAGGACGCUCCCGAAGCUACUCUCCGAAGCGACGUGGCUCUCCGACCUAUUCCCCGGUGCACAGACGUGCAAGUUAUUCAAGAUCCAGAUCACGAUCCCGCUCCUAUCAUUGAAGAGCUGUCAAUGGGAAACACCAAAUUGACAUUCCUACUCCGGAAUUCACCCCAGUGUUUUUUUACAAACACAAUCAGUUUACCAUACUGCUUUUUAUCUUUUUAUAAGUACACAUGAGUUCAUUUUUAAUAUGCAAUGAGGUGAAUUUUGGAGUGUAAACAGUUUUCGUUAAAUUUUUUUGAGACAAGAGGAUUUCAGGAUCUGAUCAUGGUAAUUACUUUCGGCCAACCCAGUUAGGGAUAAUUUAGAAACUUCCAACUCAAGGGGGACUAAUUUGAACUUUUUGUUUGUUUUUAUUUACGCUCCUGUAAGGACACGGAAAAGAUAAUGGAGGGAAGGACAUACAGGACGCCCAAGGACAGGAGGAUUCCCAUGUAGGGCUCCUGAUGUACUGCGGAAGAACUCCGUCAGGGUGACCGCAGCAGCAAUUACAACAAGGGGUGGCAGGUAUGGCUGAUGGAGGCGGUUGCAGGACAAGUGCCGACUGUGACCUCGAGGGCGCCGGCCAGACGGAUGAUUGCAGAGAGGCCGUCGACUGAGUGGCUCGAAGGACGAGGGCCGCCUUUCGAAGGCUGUUGACCCUGCCCGUGUUGGAGCGCGGGGGUGGGUGCGGCGAGCCAGGGUUUGAAGAGAUGUGGAGAGACAGAGGGCGCCGCGGAGAGGCAGAAACGUUCAAAGCCGACGGCGCCUGGCUGAGUUGGCCCAAACUCUGCUGGUGCGACAAUAAAUCGUCUUGGCUCAUUUUCCUGAAAAUUUUUAAUAUUAGAAUUUUAUAUGUAUAUAUUUUUAGUAUUUUUAUAUGGAUUUUUUCUAUUAAAAAAUUAAUAAAUGGAAUUUAAUAUAUAUACAAUAUGUAUAUACAAAUGAUAGAAACAAAAUUGUUUUCCUGCCAAGUAUAUUAUAAUAAUUGUGCAUUGAAAACACGUACUAAAGACAUGCACGUAUCAAGAAAGGCAUUUUCAUAGAAUGAGCUUGAAGAGUUCACAAAACCUAAUAUGCAUUUCUUAUUAUUUGUAUUCACCUUGAAAGUUACCAAGCGCAGUGUAAAUGCAUUUAAAAAUAAGCAUUUUAAAUUUGAAUGAUCAUUUUAUUAUAAAAAUUACAAAAGUUACAUGUCUCACGCAAACACCGCGCAAUUACCAGCUUUAUCAAUUGUGAGGUCAAGCCGGCUAGUGUAUUGAUAAUACUUUCCAGUCCAGUGCACUUAACCUUAAUUUAAAAGUGAAAUGAGGAAUAGUCGACCUCGCAGUUCAAAUGACAAAAUAAAAAAAAUGCACACGAUUGGCAAAACACUCUGUUUUAUGUUAAACUAAAAAUAAAAAAUAUAAUAACUUGCAAUUAUAUUCCAUAAAAAAUCACUGCUCAAAUAAAUAUAAUCGUAACUGUGCGUUUUAAAAUAUCUGGAAUCAUAAGUUUUAUGUACAAAUUUAUUUUAUAGAAGAUAUCAGAUAUACUUUUUAAGCUGUAAAAGUUGUGACUUUUAAACAGCGCUGAACUAAAAUGCUAAAAUGUAAGCAAUCGUAAACGUGGCAAUUUUUGUGAUGACCAAAAUUUAGUUAUAAUAUUGUAUCAUUAUAUAUGUCACUCCUAAUGAGGAGAUUCAGCAGACUUGUAAAGAAUUUGCUGAACUAAUUAGCAAAAAAAUGUGCCACAAACAAGCGCAGCGCUUAUGCAUGCAAUAACAGCGCCCAGCGCCGUAGGAGAGCAAAAUGUGCUGCGCCUUUGAAUAUAAACGAUCAAAUAAUUUUAUCGCUCUUGACGGCAGCGUGUUUUUGAGCUCAAAAUUAUGAUGAGAGCUGUCACAAGAAUACCAGAAAUUCUUUUAAAACUAAAAACGCUGAAGAUACAAAUAAAAAAUUAAGAUAUAAAAAUAUUCUUUCCAGAGUUAAUUUAUUUGUAUAGGCAAAAUGCUAAAUCCAGUUUGCAUUAAUUAUAUUUCUCUCUUUCUUUCGUGAUUUAGUUGAAUAUUUUUAAACUUACAGUUUGUUAAGUAGUAUAUGGCAACCCUUUCACUGCACACCUACUACGACUGUCUGCACUGCGUACACUGGCACUGGCAAGUAAGGCAAUUAUUAUCAGUCGUCGUCAGUCGUCCUCAUAGUGAAAACACCUUCACAACACAAACGCAUGCGCCACUCCAGAUAUGGUUAAAAUUUAAUUAUGAAUGUGCAGUUCA
Neocloeon triangulifer is the source of this 3103-nucleotide RNA transcript. It is a transcript of the gene named serine/arginine-rich splicing factor 1B, with no coding region annotated. The transcript has 5 exons. The record is from RefSeq and is a predicted model, not a curated record. NCBI's taxonomy places the organism in Eukaryota, Metazoa, Arthropoda, Insecta, Ephemeroptera, Baetidae.